GACGAACCGUCCUAACGUUGUUCGGAAUCACUGGGCUUAAAGGGCGCGUAGGCGGGUCUCCAAGUCGGUGGUGAAAUCUUUCAGCUCAACUGGAAAAGUGCCGCCGAUACUGGGGAUCUCGAGGGAGGUAGGGGUCGAUGGAACUAAUGGUGGAGCGGUGAAAUGCGUAGAUAUCAGGAGGAACACCAAUGGCGAAGGCAGCACUCUGGGACGUGACUGACGCUGAGACGCGAAAGCGUGGGGAGCAAACAGG
Molecule: ribosomal RNA, 253 nt
Filed under: uncultured bacterium
Lineage: Bacteria
Description: partial 16S ribosomal RNA
Rfam family: Bacterial small subunit ribosomal RNA
Source: RNAcentral